This 320-nucleotide ribosomal RNA is filed under the name uncultured alga. Its description in RNAcentral is "bacterial SSU rRNA". It matches the Rfam family "Bacterial small subunit ribosomal RNA", at positions 476 to 794 of the family's 1533-position model. The record is from RNAcentral.
UACCUGAAGAAUAAGCAUCGGCUAACUCCGUGCCAGCAGCCGCGGUAAGACGGAGGAUGCAAGUGUUAUCCGGAAUCACUGGGCGUAAAGCGUCUGUAGGUGUUUUAAUAAGUCUGUUGUUAAAGCUUGAGGCUUAACCUCAAAAAAGCAAUAGAAACUAUUAUGAAUUGAGUGUGGUAGGGGUAGAGGGAAUUUCCAGUGGAGCGGUGAAAUGCAUAGAUAUUGGAAAGAUCACCAAUGGCGAAGGCACUCUACUGGGCCAUUACUUACACUGAGAGACGAAAGCUAGGGGAGCAAAUGGGAUUAGAUACCCCAGUAGU